This is a long non-coding RNA of Herpailurus yagouaroundi (jaguarundi), 1662 nucleotides long. RefSeq lists it as uncharacterized. NCBI's taxonomy places the organism in Eukaryota, Metazoa, Chordata, Mammalia, Carnivora, Felidae. The transcript has 3 exons. The record is from RefSeq and is a predicted model, not a curated record.
CAGGCAGUGAGAGGGAGGGAGAAGGGGCUGUGUGCUGGAAGGGGGUGAGCCAUUCUGUUGUCAUGGCAACAUUCUUCUGCAGCUCCUCACUGGGUCACUCAGUCUCAGGCGUCAGCUUGCCUGAAGGUCCAGGAUAGAUGGGAAAGCACUUGUCUCCCUCUCCUUGUCUUUUUUGUGAUGAGACGUUGAGAUGAUUUAAAAAGAGAAAAAUGGUUACCAGGGUAACUGAAGCUUCAUCCAUCUGACUCAAGAGGAAAAAAGCCCAAGCCACAAAAGGGAGUAGAAACUAAACCACAGGACGUAUUGUGGGAGGCCACCCAUAGAGAAAGGGUCCUGACUGUCAGUAAAUGUGCUUGUUACACACGCACACGUGGAUACAGAGGAGCACUGCUUCCAGCCCAGAGCAGCACACUGACUGAGGCAAUAGGUACCAAGGGGGAGACCUGAUGAGACAAUGAGGAGGGAAUGCAGGCCAACCCAGAUCAAGCAAGGCAAGAGGGGCAAUGUACCGUUUCAGUAGUUAUCUACCGGUUCUUUCACGGCUUAUUUGAAAUCCGCAUUUCAUUUCCACCUAUUUGUGUAACUACUUAUUUAGGACAAACUCUAUCCUAUGUCACCUGUGUUCUCUCCCUUUUGUGGUACUAAAACCGAUCACAUAAAAUGUACCAUGUUAAGCAUGUUUAAACGAGCAUCGAUUGGUUCCAUCAGGAAGUUCACACUGUUGUGCAACUAUCGCCAGUAUCCUCCAUUUCCAAAAUUUUCAUCAUCCGACCUGUAUCUUUGUACUCUUUAAUUAAGAACCCCCCAGUACCGCUUCCCCUCCGCGCCUGGUAAUCACUACGUGUGGAGAAAAGCCAAAAAGCAGACGACUUAGAGACGCAGACAUCCAAGUUGGUGAAGAACCUCGGCAGCAGUUUAAGAAAAGCAAGUUGAAAGAAGGCAGCUCUGAGUUUUUUCAAACCCGGAAGGCGGGGGAAGAGGUGGUCCGAACUGGUACAGUGCGCAACAACUGCCACCUACUGGCCAGAGAAACGGAACGACACACAUCACAAAGGAAAAUCCAUCGUUUCCUCUGUUCGCCUGUAAAGAGCCCUGCAGAUCAUAGCUGAGGUGGCAAAGAGGAAUGCUGCUGAGGGGGAGCGAAGGCUGCGGUACAAUCGAAGUGGCCCGGCCGAACGGUCUUCGGCACAAUAGCCUUCUACGGUCCCGCCCCGGAACUAAGCCAACAGAAGCAGGAAGGCCCGCGUCCGGAAGUUCCGGCGCCCGGUAGAGGAAAAGGCAGGGCUUCGGGAUGCGUUCCAAUUUAACCUUCUAGUGCUCCAUGACCCACGCUUCUCAAGAAGCUCAAUGGUAAUACAUUAGAAAGAAGAAGAAGAAGAAGAAGAAGAAGAAGAAGAAGAAGAAGAAGAAAAGGAAAAAGAGCAGUUAUCAGACAGGAACUCUCACCACUUCACAGCAACACCUGAUCUGCACCUGUAUCUCUGCUAUCCCUGUGGAAUAAAGGACCUUAUCCUACCUGAGGCCAGGCCCUUCACCUGGAUCCCAUGCCCAUCUUCUGGAGGAGGAGUAGGACUUUGCAAUGAUUCCAAUUAUCACCUAUCCAUUUAUUUCUCCAUCAUUCUGUUAUCUAUGAUACAAGAGGCAGUAAAACGUAAAGCCAUC